GACGAACGCUGGCGGCGUGCCUAAUACAUGCAAGUAGAACGCUGAAGGAGGAGCUUGCUUCUCUGGAUGAGUUGCGAACGGGUGAGUAGCGCGUAGGUAACCUGCCUGGUAGCGGGGGAUAACUAUUGGAAACGAUAGCUAAUACCGCAUAAUAGCAGUUGUUGCAUGACAACUGUUUGAAAGGUGCAAUUGCACCACUACCAGAUGGACCUGCGUUGUAUUAGCUAGUUGGUGGGGUAACGGCUCACCAAGGCGACGAUACAUAGCCGACCUGAGAGGGUGGGCGGCCACACUGGGACUGGGACACGGCCCAGACUCCUACGGGAGGCAGCAGUAGGGAAUCUUCGGCAAUGGACGGAAGUCUGACCGAGCAACGCCGCGUGAGUGAAGAAGGUUUUCGGAUCGUAAAGCUCUGUUGUAAGAGAAGAACGAGUGUGAGAGUGGAAAGUUCACACUGUGACGGUAUCUUACCAGAAAGGGACGGCUAACUACGUG
RNAcentral lists this ribosomal RNA (495 nucleotides) under uncultured bacterium. RNAcentral's name for it is "partial 16S ribosomal RNA". It matches the Rfam family "Bacterial small subunit ribosomal RNA", at positions 28 to 507 of the family's 1533-position model. The record is from RNAcentral.